This 136-nucleotide small nucleolar RNA is filed under the name Setaria italica (foxtail millet). RNAcentral's name for it is "Small nucleolar RNA Z247". It matches the Rfam family "Small nucleolar RNA Z247". From Rfam's summary of the family: Z247 is a member of the C/D class of snoRNA which contain the C (UGAUGA) and D (CUGA) box motifs. Most of the members of the box C/D family function in directing site-specific 2'-O-methylation of substrate RNAs. The record is from Rfam by way of RNAcentral. Lineage: Eukaryota; Viridiplantae; Streptophyta; Magnoliopsida; Poales; Poaceae. RNAcentral also lists the same sequence under 1 other name.
AUCAUCGAUGAUGGUGAGAUGGCAUCUCAUAUACUUAAUGGUCUUGAUUUUGAGUACAAUCCCUUUGUAUCUUCAAUGCUUGGCUGUGCGGUUCCUAUUUCUCUCUCUGAGCUAUACUCUCAUCUAAGGUCCUAUG